GGGAGGGGGGAGGCCGGGCCAGGCCAGGCCGCUCUAAUCCCGGAGCUGGGGCGGGGGAGCGUGGUGGGGAAGCAGUAGGAGCAGAGCCGUGUCCGCCUGCCUCGCCGUGCUUGCUCUCUAACCAUCGGUCUCUUUACGCACUUCAGGCGCUCGCAGAAUCACAUUCUUCUGCUAUCUCAGAAGGUGGUGCUACCAUGUGGUCAAGUCUGGAGGAUAUUAAUGCUGAUCUGAAAUAUUCUUCAGCCCUAAAACUGCUCUAGAUGUAAGCCAAACCUGGAUGUUUUAAAACCCAGCAGUGAGAACUCUGUUACCCUCAUUCUCUGAGGGCAAGGUGACACUUUUGUAAUUUCUUGUCUUUUUUAGGGGACUUCUUAUGGAUUACAUUAUCAGUGCACUGAGGGAAAAUGCGGAGCCUGCUGUUUGUGUGGGUAUUAGAAGUAAAAGGUAUUAAUAAGCUAAUGCAGAGCUUCCAUAGAGUUGGCUAACUCUUUUAAUGCGAAUCUGAGACUUGCUGUCAAGUGAGAUCCUUGUUAGAAGGAUGGGAGUUGCUACUGUUUUCCCAGUAGCAAAGCAAAGGAGUUCUCUCUUUGUGAGUUCAUAUGAGUGUCACGUGUGACAGCAGAACUUGCCACCUGGGGCCUUCCUAGGACACUUGGGUCCUGGACCAUCACUGCAUUCUUCCAAGUGACUGUCUUGUGCAUUUCUCUUGCUUUCUUUUGCCAAACCUAAUGCUUCUUUCUGUGAACCACUGUGUGGGGAACCACAACCCUUCCCACAGGGAGGGGGAGUCAAAAGGCAGGUGGUGGUCAGCCUUUACCAACUCUAUUGCGAGGCCUAAGCCCUGGGGAAUGCCCAUUAGUCUCGCUGGUCUUAUUUUUCUUUUCUUCAUUGUGGAGAAGGCUGUUCUGAUGUCUGAGGUGAGGAUAUAGAAGUGGGACAGUGUUCUGUCUCAGGAUCCCAUCCAGUGCAAAGACAAACUAAAAACUGAUCCAGAAGAUAAAGCUCUUUGACCCUUUCCUGCUCUGUGCUGGCAGAUACAGUCCCCUUCACUCACUAAAUUAAAAUGCCAGUUGCUUUUCAUGUCUGCAGCUUCUGAUGCUCUUGAAAGUGGGUUUUGCCUAGGGAAAUUACCUUGGCAAAGGUGAAGUUUAGUUUGAAACCUUAGUCCUUCUUGGAAGGUUGGCUGGAGGUCUGCAUGUAUCUAGAAGGGAGAUGUGCCUGCACUCUUGCUCAGAAAGGCUCUUGUGCCUGUCCAGUCUGUGUAAUUAAAUUGAAUUGGCAAUCAGAAUGUCAGCAUGGAAGUACAAAUUGUUCAGAAAGAUUUCAGAGUUCAGGUUCUGGGUUCAGCCACUGAAGGCAAAGGCCAAAAGGGAAUGCUACGGUUUUCUGGGGGUGGGGGAAAGCAGCAAAACUUCAAGGUCUAAUGAGGAAGAGAGUAAAAAGUUACAAAAUAGAAAGUUUGAAAAUAAUUUCAUAGCUUGGGAAAAGGCGAGAAAGAUGAGUAUCAUGAAAGGGGAGGCAUGGGACAGGCAGUCAUCCAGGCAAUAUUUUUCUGCUCCCGGUGCUACACUAGUAUUAAUGAAGAGCAAAAUCUGAAUAAGCUACUCACCCCUUCAGAGUUCAGGCUGAGAAGGUGGUAUAGGCUGAUCUGUUCAGUAAUAAGGAUCCAGUAUAUUAGUUUAAGGGCCAAUAUAUGAGUUUAGCAAAAGGAAUCAAUGAGUGCUAAUUCUAAAACUUUCAACUUUGCUUGGUGUGUGGUCAGCCUUCUUUUCUCUUAAUUCUGCUUAUAAGAAGCACUGGAGUUAUAAUAGACUACUUGUCUUUGCAUUUUACCAGGUGUAAGGAUGUUCUCCUUGGAUUUUCACAUGUAUUGUUUUGGAAGUUGCUCAUUAUGGCCCAACAAGCAAUGGAAUUUUGCCAGGUUGGGGAGAAACAGCUAAAGGUCAGCCAAAAGUCUCUGUGAUGAAGCUAAUGGGGGAAAAAUGGGGAUAAAGUAAGUGGGUGUACGACUACUAACUGCAACUGUGCAUGCACAAAGGAACAUUAACAUAUAUUAAUAAAAUGUAUUAAUGAGUUCUUGGAAAAGAAUGAAAUGUAUGUCUUAACUGUUUAAAUGUAGAACCUCAACUCUGAGAGAGUGUGCGUUUGUUGUCAGCCGGUAAGUACUGCAAGGAAUAAAGGAGCUGCUUUCUAACACUA
Molecule: long non-coding RNA, 2199 nt
Organism: Gallus gallus (chicken)
Lineage: Eukaryota; Metazoa; Chordata; Aves; Galliformes; Phasianidae
Exons: 2
Source: RefSeq, a predicted model, not a curated record